This is a non-coding RNA of Nomascus leucogenys (northern white-cheeked gibbon), 148 nucleotides long. It matches the Rfam family "Metazoan signal recognition particle RNA". Rfam says of the family: The signal recognition particle (SRP) is a universally conserved ribonucleoprotein. The record is from Rfam. NCBI's taxonomy places the organism in Eukaryota, Metazoa, Chordata, Mammalia, Primates, Hylobatidae.
GCCAGGUGCAGUGGCAUGCACUUGUAGUCCUAGCUACUGGGGAAGCUGAGGCGGGAGGAUCGCUUGAGCCCAGGAGUUCCAGUCUGCAGUGAGCUAUGAUGGUGCCACUGCACAUCAGCCUGGGCAGUAAAGCGAGACCCUGUCUCAA